This 305-nucleotide ribosomal RNA is filed under the name uncultured bacterium. Its description in RNAcentral is "bacterial SSU rRNA". It matches the Rfam family "Bacterial small subunit ribosomal RNA", at positions 338 to 661 of the family's 1533-position model. The record is from RNAcentral.
CCUACGGGACGCAGCAGUGGGGAAUAUUGCACAAUGGGGGAAACCCUGAUGCAGCGACGCCGCGUGAGUGAAGAAGUAUUUCGGUAUGUAAAGCUCUGUCAGCAGGGAAGAAAAUGACGGUACCUGACCAAGAAGCCCCGGCUAACUACGUGCCAGCAGCCGCGGUAAUACGUAGGGGCAAGCGUUAUCCGGAUUUACUGGGUGUAAAGGGAGCGUAGACGGUAUGGCAAGUCUGAUGUGAAAACCCGGGGCUCAACCCCGGGACUGCAUUGGAAACUGUCGGACUAGAGUGUCGGAGAGGCAAG